UCCUCUAACCAGGAAAGAUGCCAUCCUUGUCGGUACAGCAGAGGAACUCAACACAGAGACAUUGUGACUAUCCCUCCAGCCCUCUCAUGGAAGCCACACAACUAGUCUCUCCUGUAUGACUUUGGCACCCUCUGAGCCACUGUCCCUCUGACGGAGUCCAAGGUGAAUGCCUACAGGUAUCCACACAUUCAGAUGCAUGCGACCUGGGCCAGGUUGCACCCCAAAUUUCUACAACUUCUACGAAUCUGGUGAAAUUCUGUUAAGCACACUAUAGGAUAUUAAAUCCAAAGAAUCACAGAACCUUCCAGUCAGAGGUCAUUUUGGAUUAUCGAUUUCAGUCUCUCAUCUGUUUUGUGAAGAUCCUCCUUCCACCCUGACAGAGACACCAUCUAGCUUCCAUUUUACUCUUUAAAAGACUGCCUACAACAUGAGUGCUAUACUUCGUAAAGGAAACUGCAUAUGCAGAUUCAGUGUUGUAUGUUUUUGGAUGAUUAGAUGGACCUUUAAAAUGAAACUUCUUUAAUCUGGCAGGAUCAGCUGCAAUGCCCUGUGGUAGUGAUGACCUCAUCUCCAGGAGAAAUUGGGAUAUUGGUCAUACAGAUCAUUUAGACAAAGUGGCCAUUAGGGUAUAAGUGAUGAUUGCAAGUGCUCUGUGGACGAGUUACUUCUGGCUACAUUCAAAGAAUAACAUACAGAAAAUGAUGA
Molecule: long non-coding RNA, 705 nt
Organism: Myotis myotis
Lineage: Eukaryota; Metazoa; Chordata; Mammalia; Chiroptera; Vespertilionidae
Exons: 5
Source: RefSeq, a predicted model, not a curated record